GACGAACGCUGGCGGCGUGCUUAACACAUGCAAGUCGAGCGGUAAGGCCCUUUCGGGGGUACGACGAGCGGCGAACGGGUAGGAGUAACAACGUGGGUGGACCUCGCCCUCCAGCUCUGGGAGUAAAGCCUCGGGAAACCGGGGUACCGUAAUAACCGGAUAUGACUCCAUGACGCAUGUUGUGGGGUGGAAAGCCUUGUGCGGCUGAGGAGUGGGCCCGCGGCCUAUCAGCUUGUUGGUGGGGUGAUGGCCUACCAAGGCGACGACGGGUAGCCGGCCUGAGAGGGCGACCGGCCACACUGGGACUGAGACACGGCCCAGACUCCUACGGGAGGCGAGCAGUGGGGAAUCUUGCGCAAUGGGCGAAAGCCUGACGCAGCGACGCCGCGUGAGGGAUGACGGCC
Molecule: ribosomal RNA, 404 nt
Filed under: uncultured bacterium
Lineage: Bacteria
Description: bacterial SSU rRNA
Rfam family: Bacterial small subunit ribosomal RNA
Source: RNAcentral